This 200-nucleotide ribosomal RNA is filed under the name uncultured bacterium. RNAcentral describes it as "partial 16S ribosomal RNA". It matches the Rfam family "Bacterial small subunit ribosomal RNA", at positions 29 to 256 of the family's 1533-position model. The record is from RNAcentral.
AGCGAACGCUGGCGGCAGGCCUAACACAUGCAAGUCGAACGAACUCUUCGGAGUUAGUGGCGGACGGGUGAGUAACACGUGGGAACGUGCCUUUAGGUUCGGAAUAACUCAGGGAAACUUGUGCUAAUACCGAAUGUGCCCUUCGGGGAAAGGAUUUAUCGCCUUUAGAGCGGCCCGCGUCUGAUUAGCUAGUUGGUGGG